Erpetoichthys calabaricus (reedfish) is the source of this 160-nucleotide long non-coding RNA. RefSeq lists it as uncharacterized. The record is from RefSeq and is a predicted model, not a curated record. The transcript is spliced from 3 exons. NCBI's taxonomy places the organism in Eukaryota, Metazoa, Chordata, Cladistia, Polypteriformes, Polypteridae.
GUGGGCACCUCAGCUGAACUUCACACACCUGACUUCUCUGACUAACAGGACCUGAAGACCAUCUGUGGUGAAGAGGAACAGCCAAGAGAUAAAGUACUCGUGCAGUCGUCUGAACCUCUGAGUGGUGAGCAGUUUUUACAGCGUUCAUAAAGAUGGCAGA